ACGUUCACGGUCGGUUGCGACCCGCCGCAUCACGGAAUUAUCCAUGUGCGAUGGCCUGCAAUUCCAUGGAGUCUGUGGGAACACACUCUCCCCAAACUGUGUACGUAAUAGAUAAAUAGGAUUGUGAGGUACAUGAAUCGGUGUGGAGCUCAAAAAGAAUAUUUACCUCACGAAGUGAACAAAAUUAUUAAAAUACGUGGAGAAGAAGAAGAACAUUGAUGUGAGAUCCUUGAGGUAUGUUUACAGAGAGUGAUUGUGUAAAUAAAUGAGAAGGUAAUGAGGAAAUGGUCACCUUGGUAUGUUAUCUUACUUCCGGUCUAUAUCCACGUGUGCUCGCGAUUUGGAUCUUGAGACAGUUUGUUCUAUUGAGAGUUGGCUCGACCACGAGGGAGAGAUCGUGGUGGUUUGGAUUUGUUCCCCCAUUAUGGACUCCGUGUUGAGGGUCAUGAACCAAGACCCCACGAGCUGCCCUCACGAUCCGAGAUCCUCGGACUCCAAGUCGAGCUCCGAUGGAGGGAUCAGAGGGGGUCCGGGAGGGGUUGAUGAGAUCUGUGGGUUCAAGAUCCUGGACGUUCAGAACCUUCCGAUGGGAGAGGACGGUCCGUACCUGGGACCAGAAUCUUCUAUUGUGGUGGUGAAGGUGGAACCUGAACCUACGAAUGGUUCUCACUCACAAGGUGAAACUGGUCAAGAUGAGGGGAGAUGUCUCCAUGAUAACUCGCUUCUAACUUCAAACACAAUCCGUGUAAAGGAAGAGCUGAGUGAAGAUUCUUGCAAUGCCAAUGACAGACGGAUCCCAGUCAUGAGGAUGUUGUCGAUUGCCAAGAAUAUGAUCACGUUCAAUGAAAAUUCUUUGCAGCAACACGAGAAGAUUGCGGAUUACAAACAGAAAAACUUUCAUCGUCAAAAGCAGAUGAAGGUUCCCACUUAUGAGAAGAUAUACGUGUGCACCGUGUGCAAACAAUCAUUCGAUUGCAUUUCAUCCUGUCGGAUCGAUCGGGCAGGUGGAUAAAGAGUGAUUCUGCAAAUAGAUGAAAAGGAUAUCUCAAAAAGUUGUGGACGGAUCCGGAUGAAAUUUUAUGGACAGGUUCAGUGUGUGACAGCUGAACUGAUUCAAUUUUGGUGAAGAUCCAGUUCCGACUACUACAAUUCUUCAACAUUGAGAGAUGGGGCCAAAAACGAUAUCUCAAAAAGUUGUGGACGGAUUCGGAUGAAACUUGAUGAACAGGUUGGGUGUGUCACAAGGACAAAUUGAUUAGAUUUUGGUGACGAUCCAAAUCCGGAUCUGAAUACGAGAAUUUUUUUAUUUUUAAUUUUAAUUCCAAAUGUGUGCGCUUUCUGUUGGUAUGUGGUGUGGGUGUUUUCUGUUGGUAUGCAUGGUUUCUUUUUGUCCUCCAUCUGUCUUUCUUUAUUUUUCUUUGUCUACAGAGGGGUGAAUCUUGCAAAUCGUUUUUGUAAGGCUCACUUGGCUGCACCUGGAUGAGUUUGAGGGUAGAGGAGUAGCAGCCAAAACCCAAAUCCUAUUCAGAUUCCUCCUGAUGACUCCACCUUUGUCUAUUUGGGUUCCUCCUGAUACUCCAGUGCUGUAUUUGGUCAUUUAUUUGAUUAAUUAGUCUGUGAGAGGUCAUCAUGGAAAAUCGCAUCAUAUAAUGCAUAAAAUUGCUCGAAGUUCAUAAUUUGAAAACUAUAGCACUUACAAAAGUGAUGUAUACAGCGAUUCAUAGGUAUGAAGAUCCUAGACAUUCGAGAUAAGAGUGAGGAAAGUGGAAAAAAAAAUUGAGCACUUCAUCGUUCAGAAACUGUUGCGGUCUGUUUCAAGUAAAGGAAUGUUUGAGCAGGCCGAACAAAAUGGUGGCUUCAGACUCCAGCGAUAUGACAGAGGGUUAACAAAUAUGGCAUGCCACCAUCUUGGUAAGGCUGGGGGGGG
Molecule: long non-coding RNA, 1927 nt
Organism: Eptatretus burgeri (inshore hagfish)
Lineage: Eukaryota; Metazoa; Chordata; Myxini; Myxiniformes; Myxinidae
Source: Ensembl